UACGAAGGGGGCUAGCGUUGCUCGGAAUGACUGGGCGUAAAGGGCGCGUAGGCGGCCAGCACAAGUCAGUUGUGAAAUCUCCGAGCUUAACUCGGAAAGGUCAACUGAUACUGUGCGGCUAGAGUGCGGAAGGGGCAACUGGAAUUCUUGGUGUAGCGGUGAAAUGCGUAGAUAUCAAGAGGAACACCUGCGGCGAAGGCGGGUUGCUGGGCCGACACUGACGCUGAUGCGCGAAAGCCAGGGGAGCGAACGGG
Molecule: ribosomal RNA, 254 nt
Filed under: uncultured bacterium
Lineage: Bacteria
Description: partial 16S ribosomal RNA
Rfam family: Bacterial small subunit ribosomal RNA
Source: RNAcentral